CUGGCGGCAGGCUUAACACAUGCAAGUCGAGCGGUAACACUUCGGGUGACGAGCGGCGGACGGGUGAGUAAUACAUAGGAAUCUGCCUAGUAGUGGGGGAUAACGUAGGGAAACUUACGCUAAUACCGCAUACAUCCUACGGGGGAAAGCAGGGGGAUCGCAAGACCUUGCGCUGAUUGAGCGGCCGAUAUCAGAUUAGCUAGUUGGUGAGGUAAAGGCUCACCAAGGCGACGAUCUGUAGCGGGUCUGAGAGGAUGAUCCGCCACACUGGAACUGAGACACGGUCCAGACUCCUACGGGAGGCAGCAGUGGGGAAUUUUGGACAAUGGGCGCAAGCCUGAUCCAGCCAUGCCGCGUGAGUGAAGAAGGCCUUCGGGUUGUAAAGCUCUUUCAGCCGGGAAGAAAACGCAUGGGUUAAUACCCUGUGUGGAUGACGGUACCGGAAUAAGAAGCACCGGCUAACUACGUGCCAGCAGCCGCGGUAAUACGUAGGGUGCGAGCGUUAAUCGGAAUUACUGGGCG
This 522-nucleotide ribosomal RNA is filed under the name uncultured bacterium. RNAcentral's name for it is "bacterial SSU rRNA". It matches the Rfam family "Bacterial small subunit ribosomal RNA", at positions 36 to 560 of the family's 1533-position model. The record is from RNAcentral.